RNAcentral lists this unclassified non-coding RNA (2044 nucleotides) under Cyanidioschyzon merolae strain 10D. RNAcentral describes it as "hypothetical transcript". The record is from RNAcentral. Lineage: Eukaryota; Rhodophyta; Bangiophyceae; Cyanidiales; Cyanidiaceae.
AGCGGACACCAUGAAAGACAGAAACCACUACCGGAGGGCAAGUGACCCUGAAAUCAAGAGUCAUUGGUGAAAUAGUGGCGAUGGGGGCUGUUGUUAGCAAUGCAGACUACCAGCGCUUGACUUUCGGUAACUGUUCUGGUCUACUAAGGGUAGGGAGCUGGCUCGGAACGUUCCUGGGUGCCACAGGAAAACGACACCGCCACUUGGGACGCUGGCUGGUUGCUCACCAGAGCUUGUGAGCACUUGCUUGAGUUCGACAUUCAGGGCUCAUGUUUUCUGUAGAAUGCACGUUUGCGCACUGUCUUGUUAAGUAGGGAUGGAGCGUUCAGGGUUCUUGGUACUGGAAGCGCUGAACGUACGACACAGCCGAGCCAAGUGCCAGGGGAGCGGGAAGUGACUGGAGCGACGGUGUGAUUAAUUGACGACAACGAGGUCACUCACCGUAGUGUGCAGCUGGUAACGAGUAUUCAGAGACGCUCGCGUGCAGCGUCCCGGGAAUAAAACCAGGGGCAACUGAGACGCCCCGCAACGUUUCCGGGAAGCCACACAGUUUCCAUCGAGCCGGUUGGAUCGCUUCAAAAGGAAGCCUUUCCCAGUAUUUGACCUUGGUGGUUACUUUGUCUUCCACUGGGGCUUGCCCCUCGUUGCGAGUAGCGUGCAUCACGCGAGACCUUCAACAGCGUAUGUCACGGGAUGCCCCGCCAGUUCUCGAUCAGGAACAAAAGAGUACGGGACUUGCUGUUCUGGGCGUGCGGCAGUCGCCCCUAGUACGCAUUCGUGAAACGUUUGUGGGCGCUUCUGGGCGUACGCUCUUGAAAGAGUUGCUGGCUCGAGUACAGUUUCAUGCGCGCUGGCAGUUGCUAUCGUUACAGGCAAACGGAGGUUCCGCGCGGACCACGCAAGGAUGCUUAGGCCGCAGACAUCGGACUGGAGUCGGCUCUCAGCACAGAGCAGCUCCAUCAAUAAAGAGCGCGGAAUGAACCGUAGGGAAAUACCGCAGGCUCGUUCGUCGCUGGUAUUUUCGGAAUACGUCGUGCCGAUUCUUCGCAUAGGCACACUCACACGAGAAUGAAACCGAACAGGUCUACGGACUCGGGCGUACACACGCCAAAGCCUGGCUCUCUUCCCAGUGGUACGAAUAACAACCCGUGCGGGCUUUUUCGGCGACUGCUUCUUUCUUGCUUUACUCUGUCUCGACCGCUCUGUUGUCAACAGUCGAGGGAUACUCAUGGCUGCGUUCAAGUCCCUGGGACGAUGUUUCUGGCUGUUGUCGACACAUUUCACGCACGAUGUAAGUCGGGCGCUGCGCUUUGCUUGCCAUAUAUUCACCUUGUUUAUGUGCAGCCUUGAUGCGCUCUUUGUAACAGUGACAAUUGAGUGCGAUCAGGUGUUCUUGUCUAUCCAUAACACGUCGUGCUGCGAGUUCCGCGCUGUGGCUCGUGAACACCGGCUUCAUCGCUCGGUUCGUGCACUUGCGCGGUACAUGAGGCAUAUUCCGAUGCACUCCUCCGUUUCCAAACCGGCUGCAGUACGCUACGAUCACAUAGUUCUGCUGGAUGAUCGCCUCGAUUACUUCGCUGUCCGCAGCACGCGCAAAUGCAAACUGUUCCAUUCGAUGAAGGAUUUGUGAAACGUGACGUUCAUGAUCAUGAAAAAAAGUACCGGAAGGAAAAUCCAGGUUAGGGAGAAAUUCGGGUAAUCUAGAUCCAUUUGCGCUCUUUUCAUGCAAACCAGUGACACAGUCCGUACUGGACGCGAUUGCUGCGAUGACUCUAGUCCGAAUCCAAGACGCUUUUCAUGCAGACGUAAGCAGUGCGGGCCUCUGGGAACAGAUCCCGAUGACAGGUAUUGUUUUGCUGUUGAAUGCGGUUUCGUCGAUGGUCACGAAGCGAUGGGGAUUCUUCUUUAGCACGGAAUCGACGAUUUGUAGUGACAAUCUCAGUGGACUUUCAGUGUGAUCUUAUGACUAAUUCCUCAACAAACGCCAUCGAGCACUUUUCGCUGUCAAUGCAACCGCGUCAAUAAAUGCACCAACGAAUCACCA